AGCUACGAGUUCCGGUGUCCAAGCCCUGGCUGGCCGGACGGCAACCCUCGACGCAGUGGGGUGCCCCAGGUGACGGCUCGGCGGAUCUCAUGUUUCUGCAAGUGCGCUCA
Streptomyces mangrovisoli is the source of this 110-nucleotide regulatory RNA element. It matches the Rfam family "SAM (S-adenosyl methionine) riboswitch aptamer". Rfam says of the family: SAM-IV is a mRNA element that regulates gene expression via direct sensing of S-adenosylmethionine (SAM or AdoMet). The record is from Rfam. Lineage: Bacteria; Bacillati; Actinomycetota; Actinomycetes; Kitasatosporales; Streptomycetaceae.